This 775-nucleotide ribosomal RNA is filed under the name uncultured bacterium. RNAcentral describes it as "bacterial SSU rRNA". It matches the Rfam family "Bacterial small subunit ribosomal RNA", at positions 28 to 776 of the family's 1533-position model. The record is from RNAcentral.
GACGAACGCUGGCGGCGUGCCUAAUACAUGCAAGUCGAACGCUUUGAUUUUCACCGGAGCUUGCUCCACCGAAAAUCAAAGAGUGGCGGACGGGUGAGUAACACGUGGGCAACCUGCCCAACAGAGGGGGAUAACACUUGGAAACAGGUGCUAAUACCGCAUAAUUUGUUUUUCCGCAUGGAAGAAUAAUAAAAGACGCUUCGGUGUCACUGUUGGAUGGGCCCGCGCUGCAUUAGUUAGUUGGUGGGGUAACGGCCUACCAAGACCAUGAUGCAUAGCCGACCUGAGAGGGUGAUCGGCCACACUGGGACUGAGACACGGCCCAGACUCCUACGGGAGGCAGCAGUAGGGAAUCUUCGGCAAUGGACGAAAGUCUGACCGAGCAACGCCGCGUGAGUGAAGAAGGUUUUCGGAUCGUAAAACUCUGUUGUUAGAGAAGAACAAGUGAGAGAGUUACUGUUCUCACCUUGACGGUAUCUAACCAGAAAGCCACGGCUAACUACGUGCCAGCAGCCGCGGUAAUACGUAGGUGGCAAGCGUUGUCCGGAUUUAUUGGGCGUAAAGCGAGCGCAGGCGGUUUCUUAAGUCUGAUGUGAAAGCCCUCGGCUCAACCGAGGAAGGUCAUUGGAAACUGGGGAACUUGAGUGCAGAAGAGGAGAGUGGAAUUCCAUGUGUAGCGGUGAAAUGCGUAGAUAUAUGGAGGAACACCAGUGGCGAAGGCGACUCUCUGGUCUGUAACUGACGCUGAGGCUCGAAGGCGUGGGGAGCGAACAGG